GACCGCUCCGGUGGCCUAAUGGUUAGAGCAUCCGCCUCGGAUUCGGGAUGUUGUUGGUUUGAUCCCAGGCCGAGUCG
Potamilus streckersoni is the source of this 77-nucleotide non-coding RNA. NCBI's taxonomy places the organism in Eukaryota, Metazoa, Mollusca, Bivalvia, Unionida, Unionidae. The record is from the annotation of a GenBank genome assembly.